This 566-nucleotide non-coding RNA is filed under the name Burkholderia sp. SRS-W-2-2016. RNAcentral describes it as "Bacterial large subunit ribosomal RNA". It matches the Rfam family "Bacterial large subunit ribosomal RNA", at positions 1581 to 2141 of the family's 2925-position model. The record is from Rfam by way of RNAcentral. Lineage: Bacteria; Pseudomonadati; Pseudomonadota; Betaproteobacteria; Burkholderiales; Burkholderiaceae.
GGAAGCGAAGCAACUGGAAGGGGUUCCAGGAAAAGCCUCUAAGCUUCAGUUUCACAGUGACCGUACCGCAAACCGACACAGGUGGGCGAGAUGAGUAUUCUAAGGCGCUUGAGAGAACUCGGGAGAAGGAACUCGGCAAAUUGGUACCGUAACUUCGGGAUAAGGUACGCCCUUGUAGCUUGACUGGCCUGCGCCAGAAGGGUGAAAGGGUUGCAAUAAACUGGUGGCUGCGACUGUUUAAUAAAAACACAGCACUCUGCAAACACGAAAGUGGACGUAUAGGGUGUGACGCCUGCCCGGUGCCGGAAGAUUAAAUGAUGGGGUGCAAGCUCCUGAUUGAAGUCCCGGUAAACGGCGGCCGUAACUAUAACGGUCCUAAGGUAGCGAAAUUCCUUGUCGGGUAAGUUCCGACCUGCACGAAUGGCGUAACGAUGGCCACACUGUCUCCUCCCGAGACUCAGCGAAGUUGAAGUGUUUGUGAUGAUGCAAUCUCCCCGCGGCUAGACGGAAAGACCCCAUGAACCUUUACUGUAGCUUUGCAUUGGACUUUGAACCGGUCUGUGUAG